RNAcentral lists this ribosomal RNA (522 nucleotides) under uncultured Acaulospora. Its description in RNAcentral is "SSU rRNA". It matches the Rfam family "Eukaryotic small subunit ribosomal RNA", at positions 565 to 1092 of the family's 1831-position model. Lineage: Eukaryota; Fungi; Glomeromycota; Glomeromycetes; Diversisporales; Acaulosporaceae. The record is from RNAcentral.
UGCCAGCAGCCGCGGUAAUUCCAGCUCCAAUAGCGUAUAUUAAGUUGUUGCAGUUAAAAGCUCGUAGUUGAAUUUCGGGAUCUGUCCAUUGGUCGGGCUUUACGGUCCGUACUGGUGUGAUGGGUUCCUACCUUCUGAAUAACCAGCAUGCCAUUUAGUUGGUGCGCCGGGAAGCAGAGCUAUUACCUUGAAAAAUUAGAGUGCUUAAAGCAGGCUAUUUGCUUGAAUAGAUUAGCAUGGAAUAAUAAAAUAGGACGGUGGUCCUGUUUUGUUGGUUUCUGAAUCACCGUAAUGAUUAAUAGGGAUAGUUGGGGGCAUUAGUAUUCAAUUGUCAGAGGUGAAAUUCUUGGAUUUAUUGAAGACUAACUACUGCGAAAGCAUUUGCCAAGGAUGUUUUCAUUAAUCAAGAACGAAAGUUAGGGGAUCGAAGACGAUCAGAUACCGUCGUAGUCUUAACCAUAAACUAUGCCGACUAGGGAUCGGACGAUGUUAAUUUUUUAAUGACUCGUUCGGCGCCUUACG